RNAcentral lists this ribosomal RNA (246 nucleotides) under uncultured bacterium. RNAcentral's name for it is "partial small subunit ribosomal RNA". It matches the Rfam family "Bacterial small subunit ribosomal RNA", at positions 26 to 286 of the family's 1533-position model. The record is from RNAcentral.
AGGACGAACGCUGGCGGCGUGCUUAACACAUGACAAGUCGAGCGAACCUUCGGGUUAGCGGCGAACGGGUGAGUAACACGUGGGCAACCUGCCCCAAGCUCUGGGAUAACCUCCGGAAACGGGGACUAAUACCGGAUAUGACUCUGGAAGACAUCUUCUUGAGUGGAAAGUUUUUCGGCUUGGGAUGGGCCCGCGGCCUAUCAGCUUGUUGGUGGGGUAACGGCCUACCAAGGCGACGACGGGUAG